This 223-nucleotide long non-coding RNA is filed under the name Elaeis guineensis (African oil palm). RNAcentral describes it as "long non-coding RNA (EGUI_LNC074678)". The record is from RNAcentral. Lineage: Eukaryota; Viridiplantae; Streptophyta; Magnoliopsida; Arecales; Arecaceae.
AACUCAGUCUCGCAAAUCGCAUAGGACUUCUCCUUUUCUAUCAAGAUCGAUAAAUUCCAUCUAGAUGCAUCCUACUCCAAUUAGCGAAUCUGAACCUACUGAAGCUAGCAUACACAACAAGGAUCUAAAUGACUAGGAACCAAAAAAAUAUGUAGUCAAACUCAAUAGCCUCACUGCGAAUAGCCAAUGACAUUGUAGGUCAAAGGAUCACUCACACCACUGC